AGGACGAACGCUGGCGGCGUGCUUAACACAUGCAAGUCGAGCGGAAAGGCCCUUCGGGGUACGUCGAGCGGCGAACGGGUGAGUAACACGUGAGCAAUCUGCCCUUAGCUUCGGGAUAGCUCCGGGAAACCGGAAUUAAUACCGAAUACGACUACGGCCGACAUCGGCUGUGGUGGAAAGUUUUUUCGGCUAGGGAUGAGCUCGCGGCCUAUCAGCUUGUUGGUGAGGUAACGGCUCACCAAGGCGACGACGGGUA
RNAcentral lists this ribosomal RNA (256 nucleotides) under uncultured bacterium. RNAcentral describes it as "partial small subunit ribosomal RNA". It matches the Rfam family "Bacterial small subunit ribosomal RNA", at positions 26 to 285 of the family's 1533-position model. The record is from RNAcentral.